CAGCAGCCGGGUAAAACGGAGGGUGCAAGCGUUAAUCGGAAUUACUGGGCGUAAAGCGCACGCAGGCGGUCUGACAAGUCAGAUGUGAAAUCCCCGGGCUUAACCUGGGAACUGCAUUUGAAACUGUCAGGCUGGAGUCUUGUAGAGGGGGGUGGAAUUCCAGGUGUAGCGGUGAAAUGCGUAGAGAUCUGGAGGAAUACCGGUGGCGAAGGCGGCCCCCUGGACAAAGACUGACGCUCAGGUGCGAAAGCGUGGGGAGCAAACAGGAUUAGAUACCCCUGUAGUCCCUGUCUCUUAUACC
RNAcentral lists this ribosomal RNA (301 nucleotides) under uncultured bacterium. RNAcentral describes it as "partial 16S ribosomal RNA". It matches the Rfam family "Bacterial small subunit ribosomal RNA", at positions 509 to 808 of the family's 1533-position model. The record is from RNAcentral.